This 844-nucleotide ribosomal RNA is filed under the name Listeria monocytogenes. Its description in RNAcentral is "partial 23S ribosomal RNA". It matches the Rfam family "Bacterial large subunit ribosomal RNA", at positions 508 to 1353 of the family's 2925-position model. The record is from RNAcentral. Lineage: Bacteria; Bacillati; Bacillota; Bacilli; Caryophanales; Listeriaceae.
GGAAAGGUGAAAAGCACCCCGGAAGGGGAGUGAAACAGUUCCUGAAACCGUGUGCCUACAAGUAGUUAGAGCCCGUUAAUGGGUGAUAGCGUGCCUUUUGUAGAAUGAACCGGCGAGUUACGAUUUGUUGCAAGGUUAAGCGGAAAAAGCGGAGCCGUAGCGAAAGCGAGUCUGAAUAGGGCGCAUAAGUAACAGGUCGUAGACCCGAAACCAGGUGAUCUACCCAUGUCCAGGAUGAAGGUAAGGUAAUACUUACUGGAGGUCCGAACCCACGCACGUUGAAAAGUGCGGGGAUGAGGUGUGGGUAGCGGAGAAAUUCCAAUCGAACUUGGAGAUAGCUGGUUCUCUCCGAAAUAGCUUUAGGGCUAGCCUCGAGGUAAAGAGUCAUGGAGGUAGAGCACUGUUUGGACUAGGGGCCCUUCUCGGGUUACCGAAUUCAGAUAAACUCCGAAUGCCAUGUACUUAUACUCGGGAGUCAGACUGCGAGUGAUAAGAUCCGUAGUCGAAAGGGAAACAGCCCAGACCACCAGUUAAGGUCCCCAAAUAUAUGUUAAGUGGAAAAGGAUGUGGGGUUGCUUAGACAACCAGGAUGUUGGCUUAGAAGCAGCCACCAUUGAAAGAGUGCGUAAUAGCUCACUGGUCGAGUGACCCCGCGCCGAAAAUGUACCGGGGCUAAACAUAUUACCGAAACUGUGGAUGAACCUCUUUAGAGGUUCGUGGUAGGAGAGCGUUCUAAGGGCGGUGAAGUCAGACCGGAAGGACUGGUGGAGCGCUUAGAAGUGAGAAUGCCGGUAUGAGUAGCGAAAGAAGGGUGAGAAUCCCUUCCACCGAAUAUCUAAGGUUU